Molecule: ribosomal RNA, 375 nt
Filed under: uncultured bacterium
Lineage: Bacteria
Description: bacterial SSU rRNA
Rfam family: Bacterial small subunit ribosomal RNA
Source: RNAcentral
AGUCGAACGGUAACAGGAAGAUUGUGCUGCUUUGCUGACUAGUGGCGGAUGGGUGAGUAAUGUCUGGGAAACUGCCUGAUGGAGGGGGAUAACUACUGGAAACGGUAGCUAAUACCGCAUAGAGGCACAAGACCAAAGAGGGGGACCUUCGGGCCUCUUGCCAUCGGAUGUGCCCAAAUGGGAUUAUCUUGUAGGUGGGGUAACGGCUCACCAAGGCGACGAUCCCUACCUGGUCUGAGAGGAUGACCAGCCACACUGGAACUGAGACACGGUCCAGACUCCUACGGGAGGCAGCAAUGGGGAAUAUUGCACAAUGGGCGCAAGCCUGAUGCAGCCAUGCCGCGUGUAUGAAGAAGGCCUUCGGGUUGUAAAGUA